Hordeum vulgare subsp. vulgare (domesticated barley) is the source of this 124-nucleotide non-coding RNA. NCBI's taxonomy places the organism in Eukaryota, Viridiplantae, Streptophyta, Magnoliopsida, Poales, Poaceae. The record is from Rfam.
GUAUUACUCCCUCCAUCCGGAAUUACUUGUCGCACAAAUGAAUAAACAUGGAUGUAUCUAGAACUAAAAUACAUUAGGUACAUCCAUUCUUAUGACAAGUAUUUCCGGAUGAAAGGAGUAUUUA